RNAcentral lists this ribosomal RNA (1390 nucleotides) under Salmonella enterica. RNAcentral's name for it is "partial 23S ribosomal RNA". It matches the Rfam family "Bacterial large subunit ribosomal RNA", at positions 396 to 1781 of the family's 2925-position model. Lineage: Bacteria; Pseudomonadati; Pseudomonadota; Gammaproteobacteria; Enterobacterales; Enterobacteriaceae. The record is from RNAcentral.
GCUGUGAGCUCGAUGAGUAGGGCGGGACACGUGGUAUCCUGUCUGAAUAUGGGGGGACCAUCCUCCAAGGCUAAAUACUCCUGACUGACCGAUAGUGAACCAGUACCGUGAGGGAAAGGCGAAAAGAACCCCGGCGAGGGGAGUGAAAAAGAACCUGAAACCGUGUACGUACAAGCAGUGGGAGCACCCUUUGGGUGUGACUGCGUACCUUUUGUAUAAUGGGUCAGCGACUUAUAUUCUGUAGCAAGGUUAACCGAAUAGGGGAGCCGGAGGGAAACCGAGUCUUAACCGGGCGUUAAGUUGCAGGGUAUAGACCCGAAACCCGGUGAUCUAGCCAUGGGCAGGUUGAAGGUUGGGUAACACUAACUGGAGGACCGAACCGACUAAUGUUGAAAAAUUAGCGGAUGACCUGUGGCUGGGGGUGAAAGGCCAAUCAAACCGGGAGAUAGCUGGUUCUCCCCGAAAGCUAUUUAGGUAGCGCCUCGUGAAUUCAUCUCCGGGGGUAGAGCACUGUUUCGGCUAGGGGGCCAUCCCGGCUUACCAACCCGAUGCAAACUGCGAAUACCGGAGAAUGUUAUCACGGGAGACACACGGCGGGUGCUAACGUCCGUCGUGAAGAGGGAAACAACCCAGACCGCCAGCUAAGGUCCCAAAGUCAUGGUUAAGUGGGAAACGAUGUGGGAAGGCCCAGACAGCCAGGAUGUUGGCUUAGAAGCAGCCAUCAUUUAAAGAAAGCGUAAUAGCUCACUGGUCGAGUCGGCCUGCGCGGAAGAUGUAACGGGGCUAAACCAUGCACCGAAGCUGCGGCAGCGACACUGUGUGUUGUUGGGUAGGGGAGCGUUCUGUAAGCCUGUGAAGGUGUGUCGUGAGGCAUGCUGGAGGUAUCAGAAGUGCGAAUGCUGACAUAAGUAACGAUAAAGCGGGUGAAAAGCCCGCUCGCCGGAAGACCAAGGGUUCCUGUCCAACGUUAAUCGGGGCAGGGUGAGUCGACCCCUAAGGCGAGGCCGAAAGGCGUAGUCGAUGGGAAACGGGUUAAUAUUCCCGUACUUGGUGUUACUGCGAAGGGGGGACGGAGAAGGCUAUGUUGGCCGGGCGACGGUUGUCCCGGUUUAAGCGUGUAGGUGUGUGUUCCAGGUAAAUCCGGUUCACUUUAACACUGAGGCGUGACGACGAGGCACUACGGUGCUGAAGCAACAAAUGCCCUGCUUCCAGGAAAAGCCUCUAAGCAUCAGGUAACAUCAAAUCGUACCCCAAACCGACACAGGUGGUCAGGUAGAGAAUACCAAGGCGCUUGAGAGAACUCGGGUGAAGGAACUAGGCAAAAUGGUGCCGUAACUUCGGGAGAAGGCACGCUGACACGUAGGUGAAGUGAUUUACUCAUGGAGCUGAA